RNAcentral lists this long non-coding RNA (485 nucleotides) under Gallus gallus (chicken). Its description in RNAcentral is "lncRNA (ENSGALG00010018550.1)". The record is from RNAcentral. Lineage: Eukaryota; Metazoa; Chordata; Aves; Galliformes; Phasianidae.
CAUCCCUUGAGACAUUCUCAUGGUGCAAAAGCCAGGCUCCAGAAGUUGCUCAGCUAGGUGAGCCAUCACACCAGAAUGAGGUGGAGAGGGAAAAUGUAAUUAACUGAGAUAGAGGAGGUUUUGGUUGGAUAUGAGGAGGAAGUUUUUCACCCAGAGGGUGGUGACGCACUGAACAGGUUGCCCAAGGAGGUUGUGGAUGCCCCAUCCCUGGAGGCAUUCAAGGCCAGGCUGGAUGUGGCUCUGGGCAGCCUGGCCUGCUGGUUUGCGAUCCUGCACAUAGCAUGGGGUUGGAACUGGAUGGUCACUGUGGUCCUUUUCAACCCAGGCCAUUCUGAUUCUAUGAAGAGAAAAUACAUGUUUUCACCGUUCUAUGAUUCUAAGUCAUAGAACCAUAGAAUGGCUGCGCCUCCAUGGCUGAGAUCUGCCAGUCUGGAUCCCUUUCUCUCCUCUUUCUAACACUCUGCAAAGAAAACAUUACAUCUCCU